RNAcentral lists this ribosomal RNA (788 nucleotides) under Gyromitra sp. RNAcentral describes it as "LSU rRNA". It matches the Rfam family "Eukaryotic large subunit ribosomal RNA", at positions 114 to 915 of the family's 3401-position model. Lineage: Eukaryota; Fungi; Ascomycota; Pezizomycetes; Pezizales; Discinaceae. The record is from RNAcentral.
UUUUAAAGCUGGCGUCUUCGGCGCCCGCGUUGUAAUUUGGAGAGGCAUCUUCGGUUUGGGCGCCAGCCUAUGUUCCUUGGAACAGGACGUCACAGAGGGUGAGAAUCCCGUGCUUGGCUGGCUGUCCCUUGCCAUGUGAAGUGCCUUCGACGAGUCGAGUUGUUUGGGAAUGCAGCUCAAAAUGGGUGGUAAAUUCCAUCUAAAGCUAAAUAUUGGCGGGAGACCGAUAGCGCACAAGUAGAGUGAUCGAAAGAUGAAAAGCACUUUGAAAAUAGAGUUAAAAAGUACGUGAAAUUGUUGAAAGGGAAGCGCUUGAGACCAGACUCGGCCGGAGAUGAUCAGCCGUCCUUCUGGGCGGUGCACUUGUCUCCGGUCGGGCCAGCAUCGGUUGAGACGGCGGGAUAAAGGCCCGGGGAAUGUGGCUCCUUUCGGGGAGUGUUAUAGCCCCGGGCGCAAUGCCGCCAGCCUCGACCGAGGACCGCGCUUUUUGCUAGGAUGCUGGCGUAAUGGUCUUCAGCGACCCGUCUUGAAACACGGACCAAGGAGUCUAACAUCUAUGCGAGUGUUUGGGUGUCAAACCCUUGCGCGUAAUGAAAGUGAACGGAGGUGGGAACCCCCUCGCGGGGCGCACCAUCGACCGGUCCUGAUGUCUUCGGAUGGAUCUGAGUAGGAGCAUAGCUGUUGGGACCCGAAAGAUGGUGAACUAUGCCUGAAUAGGGUGAAGCCAGAGGAAACUCUGGUGGAGGCUCGCAGCGGUUCUGACGUGCAAAUCGAUCGUCAAAUUUGGG